AUUCAGUAUAAUGUGAUAAGUACAAUUGCGGAAACAGAUGUGGAAUAUUUCCAUGUUAUACGAAGAAGGAUAUCAAAAGAAGCCUUCCCAGAAAUCAUUCCUGAGCUGAUUUAACUCACUGUCAAAGAGAAGAAAGAAUGUUCCAGACAGAGGCAACAAGUGAACAAGACCAUGGAGAUAGAGAAUAGCUUGGUGCCGCAGUCAUUGAGGUUGCUGCAAUAAAAGAUUUCUAACUUCAGUUCCAGUAAACUUCAUAGUUGAAUGGUUUAUUGGACUUUUCUCAUUCCUUUAUAUUUUUAGAAGUACAUUGUAAGAUGAAGUUUUUACUUACUUCAUGCCCUAAAAUACCAUAUCAGGAAUUAUAUGAGUAAAUAUCUUUGCUAUGCUAAAAUUUCUUUCAUAACAGCCUCAGUAACACUUAUCACAAUUGUUGGGAAUACCAUAUAGCAUUGCUUCCUAAAAUUUCUAUUCGCAAUUGGGUGUGACAUCUUACACCUGGAUUCCCAGACCAUGGGAGCCUAAGCCAGGAGAACCGUGAUCCUGAAGUUAACAUCAGCUUCAUAAAAAGACUGUUUCCUCCCC
This 582-nucleotide long non-coding RNA is filed under the name Mus pahari (shrew mouse). RNAcentral describes it as "predicted gene 29322 (MGP_PahariEiJ_G0032880.1)". The record is from RNAcentral. Lineage: Eukaryota; Metazoa; Chordata; Mammalia; Rodentia; Muridae.